This 515-nucleotide ribosomal RNA is filed under the name uncultured bacterium. RNAcentral's name for it is "bacterial SSU rRNA". It matches the Rfam family "Bacterial small subunit ribosomal RNA", at positions 15 to 518 of the family's 1533-position model. The record is from RNAcentral.
GAUUAUGGCUCAGAACGAACGCUGGCGGCGCGUCUUAAGCAUGCAAGUCGAACGGCAAGAGGUAGCAAUACCUCCUAGAGUGGCGGACUGGUGAGUAACACGUGGGUGACAUACCCUUCAGAUGGGGAUAGCUAUUAGAAAUAGUAGAUAAUACCGAAUACGAGCACAGGGGUUAGAGAUCUGUGAGGAAAGGAGCUAAGGCUCCGCUGAAGGAAUGGCCUGCGGCCCAUUAGCUAGUUGGUGAGGUAAGAGCCCACCAAGGCGAUGAUGGGUAUCCGGCCUUAGAGGGUGAACGGACACAUUGGGACUGAGAUACGGCCCAGACUCCUACGGGAGGCAGCAGCUAAGAAUAUUCCGCAAUGGACGAAAGUCUGACGGAGCGACGCCGCCGUGGAUGAAGAAGGCCGGAAGGUUGUAAAAUCCUUUUGAAACUGAAGAAUAAGCGUUGUAGGGAAUGACAGCGUGGUGACAGUAGGUUUUGAAUAAGCAACGGCUAAUUACGUGCCAGCCGCGGC